AUUUUUUGUUGUUAGAUUGCUGUAUAGUUGACUCUCUUUCCAUUCUCAUAUUUUAUCCAAUUCUGAACAUGUCUAUUAUUUAAAAACAAUUUUCAUUUUUUUUCUUUGCAAAUUAACCUAUCAAAACGAUUGUCACUCUCUCCAUCGGCUCAAAGAGGAAUAACUCUAAUAAACGUUUCCAGUUCGCGGAAACCGCGACGUCAUAAACCACUGACGGCAUAGUACUG
Molecule: long non-coding RNA, 227 nt
Filed under: Mytilus galloprovincialis (Mediterranean mussel)
Lineage: Eukaryota; Metazoa; Mollusca; Bivalvia; Mytilida; Mytilidae
Source: RNAcentral